UUGCCUCCCAGGUUCCUUUUCUCUCACGCCCUGGGCUGGGUCCUAGGUCCAGCUUUUUGUCCUACUCAAAAGAGUUCCCCAGUGGGGAGAGCCUGUGCUUUCAUGCAGAACUAAAAUUGCCUUGGUGACAAGAAGAAUGAGCAGAAAAACUGAUGGAAUUAGAAAAAUGGUGUCCUAAUAGGCAUCUAAAGAAAACAGAAAGGAGGAAGGACCUUUGUUUCGAUGACAAGCACCAUCUAGUGGCAGCAGGUGAUGACGACAUAAUGUCUCUAAGAAGAAUGAAGAUGAAAGUUUUCGAAUAGGUAGUCCAGGCAUUUCUGGUCGCUUAUAGGCAUGACAUUCUUUGAUUCUAAAACAAGAAGUUGUAUGUAGUAGAAUAAUGCAAUUGAUCGGCCCUGCGUUGAUUAUUGAAAGUAAGGUGCCGAUGUGACCUGCAGAUAGGAUUAUUAGCAUAGAAUUUUCUCAGUAUUUGUGUGACUGACUAGGUCCUUAAAGACUCUGUAUUUAAGUUUCCUCAUUACAUAAAAUAGGAAGAGUGAUGGCUUGUCACCAUAUGUUGUCUGUAAAGCACUGUGUUCAACAAAGAGCAGAAUCCAUAAAUAUAACUAUUAUAUUUGGAUUUUUUCACUAUUGGGAAAAAAGGUGAAAAAUAUUGUUGGAUGUUUCUCCUGGAGUUAUACAAAAUUAUAACAUUCAUAGGCAUUUCAUAUUGGGGCCUAAACAGAAAGGUGGUAGGAGAUAACAUUAUAGCUUGUUACUAUAAACGUCAAAGACUGAUCAGAGAUGUUUGUCAAUAUCAAGUCCUUUUUAAAUAGGUGGUUCAUUGGCGAAAGUCUGACCAACAUGUUGCUACACAGAAUAGAGAUUUUCUUUGUGCUGAUAUUUGUUUGGACUUGUAGUUGUUUGCAACAGAAUGAUCAUUAAAG
This 926-nucleotide long non-coding RNA is filed under the name Homo sapiens (human). RNAcentral describes it as "HSALNT0320196". The record is from RNAcentral. Lineage: Eukaryota; Metazoa; Chordata; Mammalia; Primates; Hominidae.